Long non-coding RNA from Homo sapiens (human), 2048 nucleotides. NCBI's taxonomy places the organism in Eukaryota, Metazoa, Chordata, Mammalia, Primates, Hominidae. The record is from Ensembl.
UUUUUUUUUUUUUUUGAGAAUUAUGUGUUUUACAGAUUAAAUAAGCAUGAAUCAGUAACUUAACUAGUGAAGUAAGCACAUAUUUAAACAGGUUCUCCAAAUGAAUACAAAUGUCAUUUAUAUAGAAAAAGAUAUCAAACUUUAAAUUGUUUAUUUUCCAUCUGAAAAAAUCCUUAAAUUCAGCAGCUAUUCAAAAAGUUGGGCUUGUUGAAUAAAUAGUAACAUUAUUUCUUUUACUUCUUUAUGGAAAUACUUAUAUUCUCAUCUUGAUCCUUAAAAAACAAUAAUUCUCAGCCUAGCUACACAUUAAAAUCACCUAGGUAGUGUUUUAAAAUCCCAACGCCUCUGCCAUACCCCAAUCAAUUAAAUUGGAAUUUGUGGGGCUGAAAAGCAGGCAUCAACAUUUUUAAAGGUCAGUAGAUGAUUCCAGUGGCAGCCAGCAAAUUGAGAACAGCUGCCUUUUCACUACUUGAUGAGCCUUCAUUUACCCCUGUGAGUGGCUACUAAUAUGCAAUUUGGAAAACAUCCUAAAUAAAUCACAAAAAGAAGUGGUCAUUGUAAGUAUCAGAAAAUAGUAGCUGCCCAGAUGGUUUAUAAAGGGAAGAAUCAUUGCUUCCUUAGACAGUAAUUCUCAAAACUGAAGGAGUAGUCUGGGUCCUUCUAGGAAUAGCAAAAGCCAAAGGAAAUUGACUUUAAGUGGAUUUUUGUGAGUAGGGAAAGAAUAUGGGUUUGAAGCCAACAGAACCUGUAUUGAAUUUCAGUUGUGCUAUUUUAACUGAUUAUGUGACAAUAAACAAAUAACUAGACCAUUCUGAGUUCCCUCAUCUACAUAAGGCUAUAUUUUUGUUGUGAGGGUAUUAUGAAGUCAUAAUUUAUAUAAAUUAUAUAGAAGCAUCUUGCAUGGAUUCAAGUACCAUGGUAAGUGCACAACAAAGAUUAGUUCCAAAUUUCUCCUACCUCUAUGCCUUUCCUAUUCUCUGUUACUUGGACUUGGGUUUAUUAAACUUAAAUUAACUCAUCUGUAAUCAGAGUGAGUCGUUUGAAAUCUGUCAUGUUUGAUGCAGCCUGACUUAUAUGGUGGUAGACUGCUUACUAAUGACUAUCAUGCUACUUUACUCUUUAAGCCACCUGUGACCUGGAAAUCAGAUGAAAAGUAGCUGGAACUCUCUUUAGAAUUUCCUAACUGUGUUUUCUAAAACUCUGAAUGUCGCAAAAAGUGUACUUGGUAUGGUGCACACACACACACACACACACAUACACACAAACUUUCUGAUGUCAAAUAAAGUAGGGAAAAGCAGUAUACUGGGGUUCCCCUAUGAGAGAUGUCCAGUGGAAAGUAAAAUACUGAAGUUUCAGGGAAGUUCUUCAGUUGAGAUGCCUUUUUACCCAGGAUUUCCCAAUUUUAUUUGACCACCCUUCCCCACUACAAGCACCAAUCAACAAUUAUAGUAGUCCAAGUCCAAAGAGCAUAGAUUGAGAAUACUAACGAAUGAUAUUAUUGAUGACUAGUCAAAAGCAAGAAAAUUAAUUUGAUAUGCUCCUCCUUGUCAUUGGAAGAGACCCCAUUCCGAGCCAACUCUAAUCAAAGGAGGAAGCCAAAAAGUGUGGGAGAGGUUUUAAAUUUUGAGAUGAAAAUGUUAAAUUAGAGAUUUAAAGUAGAAAGUUUCAUCAGUAUCCUGGCUACUUGUGCUGUUAAAUUUUUUUAUAACUUCAGCUGGGCUUCGUGGCUCACAUUUAUAAUCCCAGCAUGUUGGGAGGCCUAGAUGGGAGGAUCACUUGAAGGCUGGAGCUUGAGACCAGCCUGGGCAACAUAGUGAGACCCAUCUCUAUUCUAAAUGAAUGAAUGAAUGAAACAUAACUUUAAAAUUUUUUUGAACUUUAAUGUAUUACAUGUGAACACAGUAUCUAAUAUCUCACCCAGCGAGACAACUUCACUGUGUGACAAAAAAUUAUACUCAAAUCCAUUGUUUUCUUAUUUUGUAACCUGAAAAAUGGAAAGUAAUGGAGGUAGUAUAAAAGAGAGGUAAUAAGAUCUAAAAAAAAAAAAA